RNAcentral lists this long non-coding RNA (1361 nucleotides) under Equus caballus (horse). RNAcentral's name for it is "lncRNA (ENSECAG00000056973.1)". The record is from RNAcentral. Lineage: Eukaryota; Metazoa; Chordata; Mammalia; Perissodactyla; Equidae.
GCUGAUGGGAUUAAGGUUGCUGAUCAGCUGGCCCUGAGCUUGGGAGAGGAUCCAGGUGGGCCUGAUGUAAUCAAAGGGCCCCUAGAAGGGAGGGAGAGAUGCAGGAGAGACUGUCCGAGUGGGAAGAAGGGUGCCAGGAGCCAGGAAAUUCAGAUAUUUACAAUAAAGAGGACACAAGAUUGUAGCUACGUGAUCCAAAAUUACUGUAACAGCUGCAUACACUGAGAGGUUUGAAGAAAAAAAUGCUCUUCGGUGUAGCUUUGAUCUGAAUUCUACCUUGGAUAAAUGAGGUCAUGUAUUUCUAUGUGCUUCUAGCGUGUUUUUCUGUAUGAACCAAAGGAAACACACAACAUGAAGCGACGUCUAUCCUGCUUUCCUGGUAAAGCAGGUAACUUGGAGUCCCAGGACAAAAAAGAAACUUUUCUUAGUUUCAAGUGAUAAAGUUUUUUGUGGUUGGAUCCAUAUGGAAUAACAUGGUAACAUAUCAGAGGAACUCCAAACACAGUGCAAAGGGCCAUCGCUAGAAAACAGGACGUCAUUGCAGAGGAUCAUCCAUGGAAAGCAGUGGGAGAUUACACUGGAUACGCACCAAUCUUAAGAAAUACACUGACAUUAUACUCUCACGUUUUUAUGUUUUUCCCUCAAAAGCAAAGUGCACAAAAAAAUCUAUUUUCACAGGCAAUGUUGAAUAAUUUAUCAUGGCAUCAUACUCUGAAUAAAAGCCAAAAUCAGAAAGAUGUCCUACCAGGUUCUGGAAGAUAUGCUUCAUCCUUAAUCCCUUCUUUCCUUGGACCCAUUUCUUACCAUCUCUGGACUCAUCUCCUUCUUCUGAGUGGCAGCCACGCCGUCCUCUCUGCUUGUCGUGAGCACUCCUGGGAGCUCUCUCCCCGACCAUUGGACUUGCUGUUUCCACAGUCUGAGAUGAUCUUUACCUAGAUGGUCAUGAGUCUUUGUCUCCCACCUUCUGUAGUAUCAGGGUCCAAAUAUUGAUUCACAAACUUUUUUAAGUAUUUAAAAUAAGCAUUUAAAAUGUUUUAAAGGAAGAGAUUUAACACAUGGAAUUGGUUAUAUGAGUGAUGAGAGUGCUGAGAACCCUUGAGUUAGCAACAGGAGGAAACCUUCUAGCUCUGGGCAAGAAAGAGGCAAUGUUCUUAGAAUUUAAGGCUGGAGUCAACCAGAAAAAUCCUGAACUCCAGUCAACCCAUCCAGUAGGAGUUAGAGCCACAGAAGUAAGGCAGCUGCUGGAGGCUCUGCCCAAAAUAGGGUGGGGGCAGGAAAUAUCCUGACUUCUCCACCCAACCCCCACCACUCUUUAGUUCCCCCCAGUAGCCAAGCCCAGCUAGAUGUCACUGGCUCAGGGC